ACUUUGAUUAUGGCUCAGGAUGAACGCUAGCGACAGGCUUAACACAUGCAAGUCGAGGGGCAGCGGGGAGUAGCAAUACUUCGCCGGCGACCGGCGCACGGGUGGGUAACACGUGUGCAACCAACCCCGUACCGGGAGAUAACCCGCGGAAACGUGGACUAACAUCCCAUGACACUCGAGGGCCGCAUGGCUCUAGAUUUAAAAUUCCGGUGGUACGGGACGGGCACGCGCGACAUUAGGUAGUUGGCGGGGUAACGGCCCACCAAGCCGACGAUGUCUAGGGGUUCUGAGAGGAAGGUCCCCCACACUGGAACUGAGACACGGUCCAGACUCCUACGGGAGGCAGCAGUGAGGAAUAUUGGCCAAUGGGCGAGAGCCUGAACCAGCCAAGUCGCGUGAGGGACGAAUGGUCUAUGGCCUGUAAACCUCUUUUGUCAAGGAAGAAUAAAUCGCACGGGUGCGAUCUUGCCAGUACUUGACGAAUAAGCAUCGGCUAACUCCGUGCCAGCAGCCGCGGUAAUACGGGGGAUGCGAGCGUUGUCCGGAUUUAUUGGGUUUAAAGGGCGCGUAGGCGGGACGUCAAGUCAGCGGUAAAAGACUGCAGCUAAACUGUAGCACGCCGUUGAAACUGGCGCCCUCGAGACGAGACGAGGGAGGCGGAACAAGUGAAGUAGCGGUGAAAUGCAUAGAUAUCACUUGGAACCCCGAUAGCGAAGCAGCUUCCCAGGCUCGUUCUGACGCUGAUGCGCGAGAGCGUGGGUAGCGAACAGGAUUA
RNAcentral lists this ribosomal RNA (775 nucleotides) under uncultured bacterium. RNAcentral's name for it is "bacterial SSU rRNA". It matches the Rfam family "Bacterial small subunit ribosomal RNA", at positions 10 to 780 of the family's 1533-position model. The record is from RNAcentral.